CCUACGGGCGGCAGCAGUAGGGAAUCUUCCACAAUGGGCGAAAGCCUGAUGGAGCAACGCCGCGUGGGUGAAGAAGGUCUUCGGAUCGUAAAACCCUGUUGUUAGAGAAGAAAGUGCGUGAGAGUAACUGUUCACGUUUCGACGGUAUCUAACCAGAAAGCCACGGCUAACUACGUGCCAGCAGCCGCGGUAAUACGUAGGUGGCAAGCGUUAUCCGGAUUUAUUGGGCGUAAAGGGAACGCAGGCGGUCUUUUAAGUCUGAUGUGAAAGCCUUCGGCUUAACCGGAGUAGUGCAUUGGAAACUGGGAGACUUGAGUGCAGAAGAGGAAGGUGGAACUCGAGGUGUAGCGGUGAAAUGCGUAGAUAUAUGGAAGAACACCGAUGGCGAAAGCAGCUCUCUGGACUGUAACUGACGCUGAGGUUCGAAAGCGUGGGUAGCAAACAGGAUUAGAUACCCUUGUAGUC
Molecule: ribosomal RNA, 465 nt
Filed under: uncultured bacterium
Lineage: Bacteria
Description: partial 16S ribosomal RNA
Rfam family: Bacterial small subunit ribosomal RNA
Source: RNAcentral